AUUAAAAAGGUUCCUUCGACAUCAAAUGGCUCUUAAAAAUCAAUAUUUUGAUGAUUUAAGUGCAAGAGAAUCAGAAACAUAUGGAUCAAAUUGCCCUAAAAUUAUACACACUUAAAAAAAUGUGUUGGUCUUUAGCAAGAUCCAAAUAUUUGAAAAACAGAGACAUUUUCCUCAUCUCCUGACAGAGCUCUGCUAGGUCAACUUGAGGAGUCCAGAGAGGUGCUACUCAGGAGGCUGAGGCAGGAGAAUCGCUUGAACCUGGGAGGCGGAGUUUGCGGCAGGAGAAUCGCUUGAACCUGGGAGGCGGAGUUUGCAGUGAGCCGAGAUCACGGCAUUGCACUCCAGCCUCAGCAACAAGAGCAAAACUCCGUCUUAAAAAAAAAAAAAAAUGGCCCAGAGCAGGAAAACCAAAGGUAUAAGGUUGGGACCAGAGGAAAAGCUGUCACACACACGAGGUCUCGCUCUGUUGCCCAGACUGGUCCUAAACUCCUGGCCUCAAGUACUCCUCCUGCUUGGGCCUUCCAAAUUGUUGGGAUCAUAGAUGCAGAAACCACGGCCCAGGGAAGACGCAGCUUGAGCAAGGUCACCGGCAGUUUCCUUUGCAGUAAAAUGGGAAUAAAAAGAAAAUCUACGUAACAGUAGAUAUUCUGUGAGGAUUACGUGAAUUCAUAUUUGAAGAGUGAGUAGAAGGGUUCCUGGCACAAGCUCUACAAGUGUGGCUGGAAUGAAUAUGAUGAUGAGGAUGAAGAUGAGGAUGGCGGGGCUGGAGCUCAAGUGCCAUACUGUGUCCUGGAGCAGAAGCCACGUGUUGAGGACAGUCUGGACCCUUAACGAGGGUUGAGCCACGACACCAGCCUGUGACUGUUUACCUCUUGAGUUUGUUUACAGGAGAAGAAAAUAAACUCUCACCUUGUUUAACACACCAUCCUGUUGGCUUUUCAGUUUGCUUGUAGCCCGAUCUAAUCCUAACUGAUACAGGAACAUUGUAG
RNAcentral lists this long non-coding RNA (989 nucleotides) under Homo sapiens (human). RNAcentral's name for it is "HSALNT0302039". The record is from RNAcentral. Lineage: Eukaryota; Metazoa; Chordata; Mammalia; Primates; Hominidae.